Molecule: unclassified non-coding RNA, 598 nt
Filed under: Hevea brasiliensis (rubber tree)
Lineage: Eukaryota; Viridiplantae; Streptophyta; Magnoliopsida; Malpighiales; Euphorbiaceae
Source: RNAcentral
AAGUAAAACACAUGAAUGAAACCCAGCAAUAUCAAGUUUGUGGCAUAACUUCUCCUUUACUUUUGAUGUCCAUAAUAAUCAUACAUAAUUAAAAUUGAUAUUUUUCUAUAUGAAUAUCAAGAAAAGAAAAUUUAUAAAAACUGUGAAAAAUUCAGGAAUUGAAAAGAAAAACUGAACAAAGUGAUUUAGAAUGGAAAACAAUCAACAACUACCAUCAGCAAAAAUAAGUGUAUAUUUUUAAUGUGCCGUGUGUGCAUGUAGUCCAGCCAUAUCCCUCUCUAGAGUAAUUGAAAGUAUAAGUAUGCUCUCUAUUACACAAAAGCUAAGCAGCAGCAAAUAUUGCUGCAUCAUUGAAGCACAUUAGAACACAAUUGCACAUUUGCUACCAUGUAAUUGCCUCUAUUUAGUUGUAGUUUGAAAGGACAAUGUGAUAUUCGACUAGUAGUAUUAAAGGAUUAAAUCCAUGAAAAGAUGCUCAAUGAUGCUAUGUUAAAUAGUAUUUCUUGAUUACUUUGCUCAUCAUAAGCUAGACAUUCAAUGCACAGUAAGAUCCAAACAAACUUUAACUGCUCACCUGGAUUACCACAAUCAUCAGUCA